This 166-nucleotide ribosomal RNA is filed under the name uncultured bacterium. RNAcentral's name for it is "partial 16S ribosomal RNA". It matches the Rfam family "Bacterial small subunit ribosomal RNA", at positions 1334 to 1500 of the family's 1533-position model. The record is from RNAcentral.
GCUAGUAAUGGCAGGUCAGCAUACUGCCGUGAAUACGUUCCCGGGCCUUGUACACACCGCCCGUCACACCAUGAGAGUUGGGAAUACCCGAAGCCUGUGAGCUAACAUUAUGAGGCAGCAGUCGAAGGUAGAAUCAAUGAUUGGGGUGAAGUCGUAACAAGGUAGC